This 1461-nucleotide long non-coding RNA is filed under the name Phocoena sinus (vaquita). RNAcentral's name for it is "lncRNA (ENSPSNG00000006464.1)". Lineage: Eukaryota; Metazoa; Chordata; Mammalia; Artiodactyla; Phocoenidae. The record is from RNAcentral.
GAAGGAAGAAGAUAGGGAGGAGGGGAAUAAGAAGGGAUGGAGGGGGCGGAAGAGAGAAGACAGUAGGAAGAGAAAGGUAGAUGGGAGGGAGGAAGAAGAAAUACCUGAAGUCCAUGUAGGGUCAUCUGACACAUGGUGCUGAAGAGUUAUCUUCAUCUCCAGUGAGUAAGGAGGGAAUUACAAGGGGAUCAAAUAAGAAGUACUCCUGGAUAAAAUCCCAGUGCAAGACUUUCUUGAGACUAAACAUAUUCAAAACUGGAAAAAGUAGGAGAGAGAUUUUCUGAAAUCUAUCCAAAGAGAUUUAAAAAUAGCUCAGGUAAGGAUCUGUUACAACAAGAAAGGGGAGUCAUGGCUCUUUCUCAUCUUCCAUACUUUACUCCCUUGCAUUAACACUUCUCUGGUCUCCCUUGAGAUCAGCCAGAUUCAUUGGGAGGAAGGUACAUGUUCCCUGGACUCUUUUAGGGUGAGUCUGGGGACUGCUCCAUGGAUACUGUUUUCAAGAUUUCUUCUACAGAUAGGACAGCAUAUUAGUGUGUUAUUUGGCCCCAAGUGGCCUUUCCUCUUGCAUUUCUUUAUUUGCUUUUCAUUCUCUUACUUCCCUCAGCCGCCAUCAUUGUCCCUGUGGUACAGCGUAAGUGCUUCUAGUAACUGUAACUGCACAUUCGUUGUUACUGUAGGAUUAAGGUAUCUGGCUAUUAUAAAAUGCUAAUACUUAGUGUUUUGCAACUCAUUCCUUUGGAGUGGAGGGCAAUGAGAACACCUGAGAAAGGGUCAGAGUUCAGAACCAGAUCCAGUGGAGUUCGGCUCUCAUUUGGAGUGGUCCAUUUUUCGGUGCUGCACACUUGAGCCAGCUGUACCCCUCAGAUAGGAGAACAGGGCUCACCAAGUGAUGACUGGGACUGCAGAGCAUUUUGAGAACAGGAAGGGUUGGACUCCUUAGAUGGGUCCCAAAGAGGAAAUGAUGCUUACCCGAUGGCGGUGGAAGUGGUUACAAAUGAGACUAAGAGGAUUGGAGCCUGAACUGUAGAUGAAGGUUCUUCCCUAAAUGAUAUACUCGGCCUCAGUAAUAAACUAAUAACAUGGUCCAGUAAAGAAAAUGGGUUGGGGUAAAAGUAGAGCUUUCAGAAGGCAGGUAGGAGAAACAUGCAAUAUUAGUUUAGUUGAAGUUUCCAUUGUUGAUACAAUUAUUGUCACCACAGCAAAAAUAUUAAGAGCUCCUUUAGCUACCUGGUCUAGAGUCAAAUAGGCAAAGUGCGAAUUGGGGCUCCACUGUUCACUGACUUCCCCACCUGGGACAAAGCACUUAUCUUCUCAGAAUCUCAGUAUCCUCCCCUGUAUGAAAGAAUAAUAAUAAUUCUUACCCACAGAAAAUUACACCUUUGUCUUCUGUACCUUCAGCCUCUUCCUCUCGACUAGAUAUUUUCCAUGAGAAUCGAAACAUAUUCAAGAUCUUCUAUGUUU